This 460-nucleotide ribosomal RNA is filed under the name uncultured bacterium. RNAcentral's name for it is "partial 16S ribosomal RNA". It matches the Rfam family "Bacterial small subunit ribosomal RNA", at positions 338 to 795 of the family's 1533-position model. The record is from RNAcentral.
CCUACGGGGAGCAGCAGUGAGGAAUAUUGGUCAAUGGACGAGAGUCUGAACCAGCCAAGUAGCGUGAAGGAUGACUGCCCUAUGGGUUGUAAACUUCUUUUAUAUGGGAAUAAAAUGUUCCACGUGUGGGAUUUUGUAUGUACCAUAUGAAUAAGGAUCGGCUAACUCCGUGCCAGCAGCCGCGGUAAUACGGAGGAUCCGAGCGUUAUCCGGAUUUAUUGGGUUUAAAGGGAGCGUAGGUGGAUUGUUAAGUCAGUUGUGAAAGUUUGCGGCUCAACCGGAAAAUUGCAGUUGAAACUGGCAGUCUUGAGUACAGUAGAGGUGGGCGGAAUUCGUGGUGUAGCGGUGAAAUGCUUAGAUAUCACGAAGAACUCCGAUUGCGAAGGCAGUUCACUGGACUGCAACUGACACUGAGGCUCGAAAGUGUGGGUAUCAAACAGGAUUAGAUACCCUAGUAGUC